UAAAGGAAGCCGAGACACUAUGACCC
This 26-nucleotide non-coding RNA is filed under the name Cricetulus griseus (Chinese hamster). Lineage: Eukaryota; Metazoa; Chordata; Mammalia; Rodentia; Cricetidae. The record is from RNAcentral.